AACGAACGCUGGCGGCAUGCCUAACACAUGCAAGUCGAACGAGACCUUCGUGUCUAGUGGCGCUCGGGGGCGUAACGCGUGGGAACCUGCCCUUAGGUUCGGAAUAACUCCCCGAAAGGGGUGCUAAUACCGGAUAAUGUCUUCGGACCAAAGAUUUAUCGCCUUUGGAUGGGCCCGCGUUGGAUUAGCUAGUUGGUAGGGUAAAAGCCUACCAAGGCGACGAUCGAUAGCUGGUCGGAGAGGAUGAUCCGCCACACUGGCGCUAAGACACGGCCCAGACUCCUACGCGAGGCAGCAGUGGGGAAUAUUGGCCAAUGGGGGAAAGCCUGAUCCAGCAAUGCCGCGUAAGUGAUGAAGGCCUUAGGGAUGUAAAGCUCUUUUACACGGGAUGAUAAUGACAGUACCGGGAGAAUAAGCUCCGGCUAACUCCGUG
This 433-nucleotide ribosomal RNA is filed under the name uncultured bacterium. RNAcentral's name for it is "partial 16S ribosomal RNA". It matches the Rfam family "Bacterial small subunit ribosomal RNA", at positions 29 to 507 of the family's 1533-position model. The record is from RNAcentral.